This 1548-nucleotide ribosomal RNA is filed under the name human gut metagenome. Its description in RNAcentral is "bacterial LSU rRNA". It matches the Rfam family "Bacterial large subunit ribosomal RNA", at positions 1287 to 2925 of the family's 2925-position model. The record is from RNAcentral.
AGUGAGAAUGCCGGAAUGAGUAGCGAGAAUUAUGUGAGAAUCAUAAUGGCCGAAAAUCUAAGGUUUCCUGAGGAAGGUUCGUCCGCUCAGGGUAAGCCGGGGGCUAAGGCGAGGCGGAGACGCGUAGCCGAUGCACAUACGGUUGAAAUUCCGUAGCCACCGAAAGAUUUAAGUACAGGGACGCUUUAGAAGUGAUGUAGCCGGGCGAUGGUUGACCCGGUCGUAAGGGAUCGAAAAUGAGUAGAGAAGUCAUCAUGGAAAGAGACAAGAAAAGCUGUAUGAAUAUCUUAGGUGCCCGUACCGCAAACCGACACAGGUAGAUAGGAAGAAGAUUCUAAGGCCAACGGGAGAAGGGUUGUUAAGGAACUCGGCAAGUUGACCCCGUAACUUAGGGAUAAGGGGUGCUCAAGUGAUUGAGCCGCAGAGAAUAGGUCCAGGCGACUGUUUAGCAAAAACACAGGUCUCUGCUAAAUCGAAAGAUGACGUAUAGGGGCUGACACCUGCCCGGUGCCGGAAGGUUAAGAGGAGAUGUGAGAGCAUUGAAUUGAAGCCCCGGUAAACGGCGGCCGUAACUAUAACGGUCCUAAGGUAGCGAAAUUCCUUGUCAGGUAAGUUCUGACCCGCACGAAAGGUGUAACGAUCUGGGCACUGUCUCAACAACCCGCCCGGCGAAAUUGUAGUACCGGUGAAGAUGCCGGUUACCCGCGACUAGACGGAAAGACCCCAUGGAGCUUUACUGUAGCCUAAUAUUGGAUUUCGGUAUUUCACGUACAGGAUAGGUGGGAGACUGGGAAGCACAGGCGUCAGCUUGUGUGGAGUCGACCUUGGGAUACCACUCUUGGAGUGCUGGAAUUCUAACCUGCGGCUUUGAAGCAAGUCGGGGGACAUUGUUAGGUGGGCAGUUUGACUGGGGCGGUCGCCUCCUAAAGAGUAACGGAGGCGCUCAAAGGUUCGCUCUGCAUGGAUGGAAACCAUGCGUCAGAGUGUAAACGCAAAAGCGAGCCUAACUGCGAGAAUGACGGUUCGAGCAGUAACGAAAGUUGGAGUUAGUGAUCCGGCGGUAUGUGAAUGGAAAUGCCGUCGCUCAACGGAUAAAAGCUACCCUGGGGAUAACAGGCUGAUCUCCCCCAAGAGUCCACAUCGACGGGGAGGUUUGGCACCUCGAUGUCGGCUCAUCGCAUCCUGGGGCUGAAUUCGGUCCCAAGGGUUUGGCUGUUCGCCAAUUAAAGCGGUACGCGAGCUGGGUUCAGAACGUCGUGAGACAGUUCGGUCCCUAUCUGUCGUGGGCGUAGGAUAUUUGCAAGGAGCUGUCCCUAGUACGAGAGGACCGGGAUGGACGCACCUCUGGUGCACCAGUUGUCACGCCAGUGGCACAGCUGGGCAGCUAUGUGCGGAACGGAUAAACGCUGAAAGCAUCUAAGCGUGAAGCCGCCCUUAAGAUAAGAUCUCCUUUAAGACCCCUUGUAGACUACGAGGUUGAUAGGUCUGAUGUGUAAGCACGGUGACGUGUUUAGCUUGCAGAUACUAAUCGGUCGUUCGCUUUUCCUU